CAGCCGCCGCGGGAAUACGUAGGUGGCAAGCGUUGCCCGGAAUCAUUGGGCGUAAAGGGCUCGCAGGCGGUUUCUUAAGUCUGAUGUGAAAGCCCCCGGCUCAACCGGGGAGGGUCAUUGGAAACUGGGAAACUUGAGUGCAGAAGAGGAGAGUGGAAUUCCACGUGUAGCGGUGAAAUGCGUAGAGAUGUGGAGGAACACCAGUGGCGAAGGCGACUCUCUGGUCUGUAACUGACGCUGAGGAGCGAAAGCGUGGGGAGCGAACAGGAUUAGAUACCCCAGUAGUCCCUGUCUCUUAUAC
Molecule: ribosomal RNA, 301 nt
Filed under: uncultured bacterium
Lineage: Bacteria
Description: partial 16S ribosomal RNA
Rfam family: Bacterial small subunit ribosomal RNA
Source: RNAcentral